UAAGGAAUAUUGGUCAAUGGACGCAAGUCUAAACCAGCCAUGCCGCGUGGAGGAUUAAGGCCCUCUGGGUUGUAAACUCCUUUUAUCUGGGAAGAAAUGUACUUUUUCUUGAGUACUUGACGGUACCAGAGGAAUAAGCACCGGCUAACUCCGUGCCAGCAGCCGCGGUAAUACGGAGGGUGCAAGCGUUAUCCGGAUUCACUGGGUUUAAAGGGUGCGUAGGUGGGCAGGUAAGUCAGUGGUGAAAUCUCCGGGCUUAACCCGGAAACUGCCGUUGAUACUAUUUGUCUUGAAUAUUGUGGAGGUAAGCGGAAUAUGUCAUGUAGCGGUGAAAUGCUUAGAUAUGACAUAGAACACCAAUUGCGAAGGCAGCUUACUACACAAUCAUUGACGCUGAGGCACGAAAGCGUGGGGAUCAAACA
This 422-nucleotide ribosomal RNA is filed under the name uncultured bacterium. RNAcentral describes it as "bacterial SSU rRNA". It matches the Rfam family "Bacterial small subunit ribosomal RNA", at positions 355 to 774 of the family's 1533-position model. The record is from RNAcentral.